Long non-coding RNA from Papaver somniferum (opium poppy), 752 nucleotides. RefSeq lists it as uncharacterized. The transcript is spliced from 3 exons. NCBI's taxonomy places the organism in Eukaryota, Viridiplantae, Streptophyta, Magnoliopsida, Ranunculales, Papaveraceae. The record is from RefSeq and is a predicted model, not a curated record.
UAUUAGCUCCAUUUAUUAUGCACGGCUGAAUAGAAAUACAUAUAUCUUUUUAACAAUGUUUCCUCUUCAGUCUCUCUUUCUUCAUUAUUCUAACAAAAUAAUCUUUAUCAAUCAACAUCAAAAAGUGGUUUCAAAAAGUGUAAAAGGUUUUGAAAAAUAUUUUUGAAGAUUCUAAAAAAACAAUCUUCCAUCCGUUUCCAAAAAUGUAAAAGUUUCUCAUUUGUCCAUAAUCCGCCACAUGAAGAUUCUUCCUCUUUCCAGCUGCAAAGUUUCCUCGAAAUAGUCAGUGAACAGAUUCUUAUUCCCAAAAAGAUUUUCGCAAUGUUUCCUUCCUAAGUUGAUUAAGGUUGGCUUAUUUCAUUGCUAUUUUUUUGGGUUUUACAUAUUGCAACUCCCAAGAUUGUUGAAGAUUGGAACAUUUUUAUUUUUAUUUUUAAGACAUGGUUGAAAGUUAUUGUAGCAUUCAUAUUUUCAGUUUUGUUUUUGUUUGUAAUGCUACCAUUUAAUGGAUGUAACGUCUAAUUGAAGAGGAAGUAAUUAAGAGGGCUAGAAGGGGGUUACAAACAACACAGCCGUUAGAUGUCUUUGGCUAGGAUGAGACUGAGAUGGUCGGAUCACAUGUUUGUGUCUCAAAGUGUUAUCCGUCCGUCCAAGGCUCAAAACCCCAUCCUGUUUUGUAUUAUAGAUGUUGGUGUUUAUGUUACCAAAAGUUUCUUUAUUCCAUCUGUUGAGAUUAUGUUUAACUGAUUUAC